GCUUUGCUCGGUUUUUUACUAUCCUUUACUUUACCCAAAUCAAGUCCUUCUGAUGAUGAUAUGGAUACAAUGGAUUCGUUGGAUUGGGUGCGCUUAAUUGACGGCUUCUGAACCUCUUGUGCACUUUUAUUUGAUAGGAUAGAGGAAAGGAUUUACUCACGUAAACUCCUGGUUCAUUUCGUCGGCUACAACUGACAGCGGCUAUUGUGAUGAUUGAAAAAAUGGCCAAGACUGAUGCAUAAUAAUACGGAUCGGAAAAUGUUGCUAUAAUUGCUUCUGCAAACUUGGUUGAAUUGUCUUUUCCCUCUGAAACCGGUACUUUCUCGGUAAAAUUGGUAGCGUUUGGUGCUGGUGUGGUUACAUUUAUUUUUGGUAAUAAUGUCGUCAAUACUGGUCGGGAUGUAACGUUUCCAGUACGGUUUACUGGCGGUGUGGGGGUGGUUAGAUUCAAUGUAUUUGUUACAUUUGUUAUAUUUGUUACACUUGCUACAGUUGUUACAGUCGUUACAUUUGUUCCAUUUGUUCCAUUCGUCUGUGAGACUCCUGGUGAUGGUGUAAAAACAAAUAUGAAAAAAUAGAAAGGUAUAAAAUUAGUAAACAUUACUAAUUUGAUUACUAUAGCAGACUAAUCAGCUCUUUGAUAAUCAAUAUGAUGAUAUGAAUGCUAAUUAGGAUGAUGGGAUGCUAAGAUGGAAGGAUAAUAGCAAUUGAACAGCAUCUGAAUAAGAUUUGUUUUCAUAUUUUCAUAACAAAUGAUGACCAGUUCUUCAGGCCUCGGCUCAAAUUCACUAUCCAUUGCAAAAUCCUUGGCGAAAUCAUAUUUAACAGCUAAAUUUGAAUCACUUGACAAUAAUUAGUCUAUUAAAUUGUCAAAUUGUGUUUAACAUCAAUAAUUAAUACAUUUUUUAACCAAGUUACACCGAGUAAACUCACUUGACUUCAUAAGUAACCUUCAUGAAACUUUAACCUUAACCUUUUGUCAACCAAAAUUGGCAUUCAUCACAUGCUAACAAUUAAAACCAUAACUCAAUAAUCAUCCCAUUUCUAAACAAUUUCACAAUUUAAGUCGCAAAGGAUAAUACAGAUACUUAUCGAUUUACAAUUAACAUUUAUCAAUCCAUUGAUAAAGCAAUUUAAAAUUGCAAAUAUUUUCAUUUCCAUAGGCAAAUGAUUCAGUUUACAUUUGUGAGUAAAAAAGGCUUCGUGUAUAUUCCUGAUUAACCAGUCAUUUAUUCAUUUCAUUAUCAUUAUAAUUGUACCCUGACUAUUUAUUAAUUUAGUAUGCAGUUAUUAGUAGCUGCUUGAUUAACUUGAAACAUAUUAAUAAAUAAGCUUAUGCUCACAGUAA
Molecule: non-coding RNA, 1348 nt
Organism: Tetranychus urticae (two-spotted spider mite)
Lineage: Eukaryota; Metazoa; Arthropoda; Arachnida; Trombidiformes; Tetranychidae
Source: RefSeq, a predicted model, not a curated record